Molecule: ribosomal RNA, 253 nt
Filed under: uncultured bacterium
Lineage: Bacteria
Description: partial 16S ribosomal RNA
Rfam family: Bacterial small subunit ribosomal RNA
Source: RNAcentral
UACGUAGGGGGCGAGCGUUGUCCGGAGUUACUGGGCGUAAAGCGCACGCAGGCGGUCUGCUAAGUUUGGAGUGACAGUUGGUGGCUUAACUGCCAAAGUGCUUCGAAAACUGACAGACUUGAGGGCUUCAGAGGGAAACGGAAUUCCGGGUGGAGUGGUGAAAUGCGUAGAGAUCCGGAGGAACACCAAAGGCGAAGGCAGUGUCCUGGGGAGUCCCUGACGCUCAGGUGCGAAAGCCAGGGGAGCGAACGGG